Non-coding RNA from Vicugna pacos (alpaca), 607 nucleotides. The record is from RefSeq and is a predicted model, not a curated record. NCBI's taxonomy places the organism in Eukaryota, Metazoa, Chordata, Mammalia, Artiodactyla, Camelidae.
GUGGCAGCUGCAGUUGCAGAUAAAGGCAGGACUCAGGCUUAGCAGCCUGCUCGCUCCUGGAACCUGGAACCUCACACAGCCUGGGGAGCACGCAGACCCCUCCAGGCCAGUGCUUCGACAUGCAAGAGGUGGCCCUGAGUCUGCUCGUCCUCCUGGCAGGCCUGCCUGCCUUGGACGCCAACGACCCAGAAGAUAAAAACAGCCCUUUCUACUAUGACUGGCACAGCCUCCGGGUCAGCGGGCUCAUCUGCGCAGGCGUCCUGUGUGCCCUUGGCAUCAUUGUCCUCAUGAGUGGGAAAUGCAAAUGCAAGUUCAGUCAGAAGCCCCGGUAAGAUGGGCUCCAGGCAGCAUGCCUGCCUCAUGCUGGACAGACAGCUUUCAGGGCCGCCACCCCGGGGAUGCCCCACCUCUCAUCACAACAGGCUCUGCCCAUAACUGCUGAGGAUAGAUAAGCUGAAAGCACACAGAGAGCCUCUCUCUGCACAGGAGCCUGAAUCCAGGACCCUCCCUUCCCUCCUUAGACGGCUUUACCAGGGCACCAUCUCAUCUCUCACUGGAGGGAUCUCUUUGUUGAAUUUUCACUAUAAAAUGAUCUUGCUCCUGCCCA